Molecule: ribosomal RNA, 774 nt
Filed under: uncultured Neocallimastigales
Lineage: Eukaryota; Fungi; Neocallimastigomycota; Neocallimastigomycetes; Neocallimastigales
Description: partial large subunit ribosomal RNA
Rfam family: Eukaryotic large subunit ribosomal RNA
Source: RNAcentral
GAGACUCUGUGCGCGUGCAUAUCAAUAAGCGGAGGAAAAGAAACUAACAAGGAUUCCCUUAGUAACGGCGAGUGAAGCGGGAAGAGCUCAAAUUUGAAAUCUUCAAGGUUUUACCUUGACGAAUUGUAGUUUAAAGAAGUGUUUUCUGUUGAAGUUUUGGUAAAAGUUCUUUGGAAUAGGACAUCAUAGAGGGUGAGAAUCCCGUAUUUGACCAUUAUUUUCAGCUGUGUGAUACACUUUCAAAGAGUCGGAUUGUUUGGGAAUGCAGUCCGAAAUGGGUGGUAAAUUUCAUCUAAAGCUAAAUAUUGGCGAGAGACCGAUAGCGAACAAGUACCGUGAGGGAAAGAUGAAAAGAACUUUGAAAAGAGAGUUAAACAGUACGUGAAAUUGUCAAAAGGGAAGCGUUUGACACCAGUGUUGUUUUUCCGAAAAUCAAUUACGAAUGGCUUGAUUUUGUGUUGUAUUGACCUUAUCAGCUUUCUUCACUUUUUUCGAGUCUUUCUUAAUGCACUUUUCGGUUAACAAGUCAACAUCAAUUUCUUUUGUUGUAAAAGAGUAUUCGGAAGGUGGCUUUCUUUUCGGAGAAAGUGUUUAUAGCCCUAUACUUCUACAAUCGGAGAGAUUGAGGUCUGCAGCGUAGAUCCUUCGGGGUUAGAUACACUUGUGCUAAGUUGUAGCUUUUCAUAGACAACUUGUUGACUAUGUUUAGUCAUGCGGCUUACUCGCUUGUGCUAUUUUACCUACGCUUAGGAUGUUGACUGAUAUGUAGUCGUA